GUGCCAGCCGCCGCGGUAAUUCCAGCUCCAAUAGCGUAUAUUAAAGUUGUUGUGGUUAAAAAGCUCGUAGUUGAACCUUGGGCCUGGCUGGCCGGUCCGCCUCACCGCGUGCACUGGUCCGGCCGGGCCUUUCCCUCUGUGGAACCCCAUACCCUUCACUGGGCGUGGCGGGGAAACAGGACAUUUACUUUGAAAAAAUUAGAGUGCUCCAGGCAGGCCUAUGCUCGAAUACAUUAGCAUGGAAUAAUAAAAUAGGACGCGCGGUUCUAUUUUGUUGGUUUAUAGGACCGCCGUAAUGAUUAAUAGGGACAGUCGGGGGCAUCAGUAUUCAACUGUCAGAGGUGAAAUUCUUGGAUCAGUUGAAGACUAACUACUGCGAAAGCAUUUGCCAAGGAUGUUUUCAUUAAUCAGGAACGAAAGUUAGGGGAUCGAAGACGAUCAGAUACCGUCGUAGUCUUAACCAUAAACUAUGCCGACUAGGGAUCGGACGGUGUUAUUCAUGACCCGUUCGGCACCUUACGAGAAAUCAAAGUGCUUGGGCUCCAGGGGGAGUAUGGUCGCAAGGCUGAAACUUAAAGAAAUUGACGGAAGGGCACCACCAGGGGUGGAGCCUGCGGCUUAAUUUGACUCAACACGGGGAAACUCACCAGGUCCAGACACAAUAAGGAUUGACAGAUUGAGAGCUCUUUCUUGAUUUUGUGGGUGGUGGUGCAUGGCCGUUCUUAGUUGGUGGGGUGACUUGUCUGCUUAAUUGCGAUAACGAACGAGACCUUAACCUGCUAAAUAGCCCGCAUUGCUCCGGCAGUGCGCUGGCUUCUUAGAGGGACUUUCGG
Molecule: ribosomal RNA, 833 nt
Filed under: uncultured Ascomycota
Lineage: Eukaryota; Fungi; Ascomycota
Description: SSU rRNA
Rfam family: Eukaryotic small subunit ribosomal RNA
Source: RNAcentral